This 403-nucleotide ribosomal RNA is filed under the name uncultured bacterium. RNAcentral describes it as "partial 16S ribosomal RNA". It matches the Rfam family "Bacterial small subunit ribosomal RNA", at positions 28 to 526 of the family's 1533-position model. The record is from RNAcentral.
GACGAACGCUGGCGGCGUGCCUAAUACAUGCAAGUCGAACGCAGUGGGGACGGGUGAGUAACACGUGGGUAACCUCCCAUCAGAGGGGAUAACACUUGGAAACAGGUGCUAAACCGAUACUGAUGGAUGGACCCGCGGUGCAUUAGCUAGUUGGGGGGGUAACGGUUCACCAAGGCCAGGAGGCAUAGCCGACGUGAGAGGGUGAUCGGCCAAACUGGGACUGAGCAACGGCCCAGCCUCCUACGGGAGGCAGCAGGAGGGAAUCUUCGGCAAUGGGCGAAAGUCGGACCGAGCAACGCCGCGUGAGUGAAGAAGGUUUUCGGAUCGUAAAACUCUGUUGUUAGAGAAGCGGUAUCUAACCAGAAAGCCACGGCUAACUACGUGCCAGCCGCCGCGGUAAUUC